AUGCGUCUUCCAAGAGAUCAAUAAAGUAGAAACAAUGAUUUUGAAAAAUAUUUCUGUACCUUUUUAUGUUUUAUAAAGUCAAAAUUUUCUCAAGAAGAGCUUUUUCAAGUAUUUAAGCUAACCCUUAGAUGGUUGUUUCUGAAAAUGAACAAGUUCGAAGCUCUUAAGUUUGACGAUUCAAAUAAUGGCGAUAGUACUGAUGACAAGGAGGACGACGAAUUUGAACCAAGAGACACGAAAACCAUUCGUGAUGAAGGCAUCAAUGGAGAGGGGAUUAGUGAGGAGGAAGAGAGAAGAUUGAAAUUGCAGACUGAGCUUGAGAACAAAGUUGUGACUGUUGGUGAAGGAGAGCAUCCCCUGCAGUGUCCUCAUGCUUUUUGGUUUUCACGAAGAGCACCAGGAAAACUUCAGUCUUCUAAUUAUGCAGACAAUAUAAAGAUGGUUGGAAAGUUUGCAUCGGUUGAACAGUUUUGGAGAUUUUAUAGCUACUUAGUUAGGCCUGGGGAUUUAUCCGGUCAUAGUGAUAUUCACCUUUUUAAGGAUGGCAUUAAACCAAUGUGGGAGGAUGAAGCUAACAAAUGUGGAGGAAAGUGGAUAGUUAGACUGAGGAAAGGACUAGCUUCAAGAUGCUGGGAGAACCUUAUUCUGGCUAUGCUUGGGGAGCAGUUCAUGGUUGGAAGUGAAGUUUGUGGUGCCGUGAUAUCUGUUCGAUUUCAGGAAGAUAUAAUCUCAAUAUGGAACCGAAAUGCUGCUGAUCAAGCUACAACUACUCGAAUAAGGGACACACUCAAGAGGGUUUUGAAUCUGCCACAAAACACAAUCAUGGAGUACAAGGCUCAUCUAAGCAGUUUGAAGGAUAAUUCAAGUUUUAGAAAUACAGAUGUCUUUAUGAGAUGAACUGCUACAACCUACAUGUUUGGAAAUCCCUGAUGUCCUGCAAAUGAAAAGGUUCCUGUUCGGGGUUAUGAGUAAACGAAACGAUAAAAAGAAGUCAGUCUCCAGUGAGAAAAGUCCUCUUCCUAUCAGUCCUUAUCAACCAAUCAUCUCUGUCCUACUGAAACUCAACUGAUCAAACCAUAUUUAGACGUUUCCGUGACUGCUUCCUGUACUGAAGUUAUAUGGUCAUGGCGGCCACAGAUGUUAGAGCUCCUGCAAUUUUGUACCAUUUAGCUGCCUUUUUAAUACAUCCAAUUUUUUUAAUACAUUUAAUCUUGUAGUCUACCAGUUUUUAGA
Unclassified non-coding RNA from Stylophora pistillata, 1233 nucleotides. Lineage: Eukaryota; Metazoa; Cnidaria; Anthozoa; Scleractinia; Pocilloporidae. The record is from RefSeq and is a predicted model, not a curated record.